AACUUUUAACAAUGGAUCUCUUGGCUCUCGCAUCGAUGAAGAACGCAGCGAAAUACGAUCAGUAAUGUGAAUUGCAGAAGACAGUGAAUCAUCGAAUCUUUGAACGCAUCUUGCGCUCCUUGGUAUUGCGAGGAGCAUGCCUGUUUGUGUGUCAUUCAACUUAUCAACCACUUACUUCAUUGAUUUGUGGCUUGGACGUGGGGUGUGCGGGCCUUUCUCGAGGUCGGCUCCCCUGAAAUGCAUUAGCGGUAUCUUGAGCUUACCACUAUGUAGGUGUGAUAAAAAUAUCUAUGCCUGUCUGGUAUGCUGUGGUUGUGCUGCUCGUAACACGAACUCUGAUGAAUUUGACCUCAAAUCAGGCAGGACUACCCGCUGAACUUAAGCAUAUCAAUAAGCGGAGGCU
Molecule: unclassified non-coding RNA, 403 nt
Filed under: uncultured Inocybe
Lineage: Eukaryota; Fungi; Basidiomycota; Agaricomycetes; Agaricales; Cortinariaceae
Description: sequence contains ITS2
Rfam family: 5.8S ribosomal RNA (bases 1-154)
Source: RNAcentral